This 171-nucleotide non-coding RNA is filed under the name Leifsonia sp. Root112D2. RNAcentral's name for it is "FMN riboswitch aptamer (RFN element)". It matches the Rfam family "FMN riboswitch aptamer (RFN element)". From Rfam's summary of the family: The RFN element is a highly conserved domain that is found frequently in the 5'-untranslated regions of prokaryotic mRNAs that encode for flavin mononucleotide (FMN) biosynthesis and transport proteins. This element is a metabolite-dependent riboswitch that directly binds FMN in the absence of proteins. Lineage: Bacteria; Bacillati; Actinomycetota; Actinomycetes; Micrococcales; Microbacteriaceae. RNAcentral also lists the same sequence under 1 other name. The record is from Rfam by way of RNAcentral.
AACGUGCUCCGGGGUCGGUGAAAGUCCGAACCGGCGGUGAUAGUCCGCGAGCGGUGCAUGCGCCUUGACGGGUGCGUGUUCUGCUGAACCGGUGGAAUUCCGGUACCGACGGUAAUGGGUAGAAGCGCCAGUGGCGCAUCCGCCCUCAGUCCGGAUGGGAGGCAGCACGCG